RNAcentral lists this ribosomal RNA (484 nucleotides) under uncultured bacterium. RNAcentral describes it as "partial 16S ribosomal RNA". It matches the Rfam family "Bacterial small subunit ribosomal RNA", at positions 30 to 507 of the family's 1533-position model. The record is from RNAcentral.
AUUGAACGCUGGCGGCAGGCCUAACACAUGCAAGUCGAGCGGAUGAAGGGAGCUUGCUCCUGGAUUCAGCGGCGGACGGGUGAGUAAUGCCUAGGAAUCUGCCUGGUAGUGGGGGAUAACGUCCGGAAACGGGCGCUAAUACCGCAUACGUCCUGAGGGAGAAAGUGGGGGGUCUUCGGACCUCACGCUAUCAGAUGAGCCUAGGUCGGAUUAGCUAGUUGGUGGGGUAAAGGCCUACCAAGGCGACGAUCCGUAACUGGUCUGAGAGGAUGAUCAGUCACACUGGAACUGAGACACGGUCCAGGCUCCUACGGGAGGCAGCAGUGGGGAAUAUUAGACAAUGGGCGAAAGCCUGAUCCAGCCAUGCCGCGUGUGUGAAGAAGGUCUUCGGAUUGUAAAGCACUUUAAGUUGGGAGGAAGGGCAGUAAGUUAAUACCUUGCUGUUUUGACGUUACCAACAGAAUAAGCACCGGCUAACUUCGUG